GAUAUCUUCGCCGGUCCCAUUCACAAGGGGGAGAUAGCAAUGUUUUUUUUACUUCUCAUUUUGUGAAAACAAGGAAGAGAAACCUGCUAGUAGUAGCAAAGAUUUUUAUAGCUAACCCAAGAUAGUCUACAGCCUGUCCUUUCCAAUGGGAGCAAAUGCAUCGUGGUGGGCAGAACAGGCAAGGAGGUUGGCAGAGCCAAGCACGAGCAAUCGAGGUCUUUUUGGCUCGUUCUAGCAUGAAGUGGUGAUAACAGGAGCCAGGUGUGUGAUAUCUGUAUCGAGCAUGGGCGCAUAGAUAUUCUACACAACUACAACGACUGACCGCUGAAGCGCCUAGGGAGCUGGGACCAGCCUGUGCGCCAACAUUCAACGAUAGGCUGGGUGCACUAUCCUUCUGACCCUAUGCAGCCAGGUCCCAUCUACUUUUGAACUCCUCGCAACUGCAGAGGUCAAAACAACAACAAGCAUGUGCAGACCAUGCACAAGCUCCACCACAGUCUGGACCAUCACUUCCUGAUCACAGGCCACACCAAGUUUGCCCCUGACUGGUGCUUCAGUCUCAUCAAGCAGAGCUUCAGAAAUACCAGAGUGAACACUUUGUCUGAGAUUGCUGGUGUUGUGAAGGACAGCACUGUGACAGGGGUCAACAUCCCACAGCUGGUUGGACUGGAGGAUGGUACGGUGCUGGUGGAAAGCUAUGGCUGGCAACAACACCUGACUCCGUACUUCAGGCCGCUGACACAGUUCAAGCAGUACCAGCACUUCAGCUUCGGUGCUUUGGAGCCUGGUGUUGUUGUCACCAAGAAGUGUUCAUACUCAGUCGGGACUAGGUUUCAGAUGCUGCCCAAUGAUGACAUCCUUCCUCCAUAGAUGGUCUGCCUGUACAAGCACCACCUGGACUGGAAACAGCUAGACAAACUUAUGUUUUUGAGAAGAUCAGGGAGUUUUGCAAUGAAGAGGCUAUGGAUGUCACAUGACCUGCCCCAAAGUCAAAGGCAGGACAGAAACAGUAUUUCCAAAUAUAGAUUCCCUUGUUCAUGCGUUGUUCGGAUGGACCAGUCAUCAGCACUAUCUGCAGUGCCUCUAUUCAAAUAACUCUCUCCUAUUCAAAUAACUCUCUCCUAAUACGUUGCUGCUACUAUUUCUUUUUUUUAUCCUGCUGCUCAGCCACUUAACCCCUGACUGUAUGCAUAUAAGACUACCUCAUCUAUCACUGAUAUCGAUAUUGUUCUUGUACUUACUGUAUAUUAUUUUAUUUAUAUUGACACUAUCUAUUUCUGAUAUUGCUACUAUGCAAGUAACCAUUUGGCUGUACCAUUUACACCUUCUGUAGAGACCCAUCCACUUCGCAAGAUGUGGCUGGGGAUUGGUUAUAGAAUUUCUUUCACAUGACCCAUCAAUUUAGACAAGUGUGUCUGGGUAAGCGUAAGUCUGGACACUUUGUUUACCCUGAAUUUUUCCUUAUUGUAGGCUACUUCUUUUACCACUUUUAGUCUUCAUCUUUACUACACUACUCACUGUUUAGCACAUGAACUCACAUGUGAAUCCUUAAAGAGAUUGGUGGGGCUGGCUUAAGAGGGUGAACAAUGCUGAAUGGGUGUUGACAAAGGAGAGCUCUCCAGUAGGUACCAAAAUAUUCAAAGGCCAUUUUCUCAAAAGUGAGUUAACAAGUUAUUUGGUUGACGAUAUUUCUGAGAACAUUAAAGCCAGAUUAUCAAGUUAUUGAUAGUGUUGAAGUUUGUGACAUUAACACGUUGCCGUUCUCUAACCAGUGUGUAGUUAACAGAGUAUUCAACAAUAGCUGAAUCGGUUCGCCUUCAAAAUAAAAGUACCACAUUGAAACUGUGAAACUGACCCAAAACGGAUACAAAUAGUGUUAUAAUUUUAUAAUUGGGUUAGAUCAUACUAAACAACUUUGGAAUGUUAUGUAAAUUCAACAAAAGACAUCAGUUAAUUUGAUUUUUAAAAAUAAGUGAAACUCAGUUGAAACCGCACUGUUCAGACUUCAGAAUUGCAUUGGGAGGCAUACUUAUUUGAACUGUACAGCAUAACCUAUGGAUUUUGAGCUAUGCAAUGUGGUAUCAGACUAGUGACACCCACAGAACAAAACUCUGAUUAUGGGUAAAAACAUUGUCUGACUUGUGCCUACAUGAAUUUGACAAAAAUCAACUGCUCAAAGAUCAUGGAGUUUUCACUGCAGUCAACUGCAAGUUUCUGCAGUCUCUCUUCAGCAACUUCAUCCUGCAUUGUGGGUGGCUCUAUUGUCACACAAUCAUUAGGGUGUUUUUUUUUACCUACCCGAACGUGACCAAAGACGUGACUGAAAGAGGAAUCAACUUUGCACAAUACAUGUAUAAGGUGGAUAUGUUCAAAAUCACGUGAUGUGAGGCGCUCUCUCAC
Molecule: long non-coding RNA, 2400 nt
Organism: Oncorhynchus tshawytscha (Chinook salmon)
Lineage: Eukaryota; Metazoa; Chordata; Actinopteri; Salmoniformes; Salmonidae
Source: Ensembl